This 253-nucleotide ribosomal RNA is filed under the name uncultured bacterium. RNAcentral's name for it is "partial 16S ribosomal RNA". It matches the Rfam family "Bacterial small subunit ribosomal RNA", at positions 524 to 776 of the family's 1533-position model. The record is from RNAcentral.
UACGUAGGGUGCAAGCGUUAAUCGGAAUUACUGGGCGUAAAGCGUGCGCAGGCGGCUUUGCAAGACAGAUGUGAAAUCCCCGGGCUCAACCUGGGAACUGCAUUUGUGACUGCAAGGCUAGAGUACGGCAGAGGGGGAUGGAAUUCCGCGUAUAGCAGUGAAAUGCGUAGAUAUGCGGAGGAACACCAAUGGCGAAGGCAAUCCCCUGGGCCUGUACUGACGCUCAUGCACGAAAGCGUGGGGAGCAAACAGG